UAGACUUUUUCACUUAUACUAUUACAAGACACUUAAUUACUAGCUUAUCUUUGGUUUUAUAUUGUUCACGAUCUCGUCCCGAUUCAGACUGAUUCAGACUGAUGUUCUAAUCCUUAAUCCUGAUCCACUCAACCUCGGCCAGAAGCUUUUUAUUCGAACUUCAUCCAACUUUCAGUUAUGUUUCAGAUAAAAGCUUUAUGCUGAAGUUAUUUCAAUGCAUUGUGAAAUUAAAAUUUGCUGACUGAUGCAGUUUGAUUGAAGCGCAAAAAGUUGAUUGAUUAAUUUUGGUUAUUUAUGCUAGGGGUGCUAUUGUCGCCAAAGAAGGGCAAAGACAAGCAGCCUAAGGCAGCCCUAAGUGUUGGUGACAAAGACAAAGGCAAAGGCAAUGCUGCUGAGAUUGGAGUUUGAAAUUUGUUUAUCAACUGGGACAGAUUGCUAUAUUUAUAGGUUGUAUAGCUUGCAUAUAUUGUUGCAGAAGUAGAACUCACCGACAAUGGCAAGUCUUAAGAUCAUUCCACACUUAAGGAUGAUGACGAAAAGAUAGUGUGAAACCAAAAAAAAUUGUUCAAACUAUUUUUACUAAUAUGUUUGCGUUUCAUAUAAAACUUACAAAAAACAAGCGGAGAAGGCUAAGAUCACUGUGAUGACCGGCAUUGCCAACAAUCAAGCAUCGGAAAAGCGUGAAGAGCGACUGAGAGGGAGAAGACAGUUUACUCUAGUGGAGUCGACCAAGGAACGCGCUGUGUCAAUGGCAAGACAUAUUGGUAAUAAAUUGACUUCCACCGAAAGCCAAAAAGUGUGUUACGUUACUGAAUAAUCGGGUCAUUACAUUGGCGACGAGUGACAAUAUCGGUAAAUAAUAAUAUUAACUAAAAAAAUUUGGUAAAUUUGCCAAUCAGACAAAGAAGAAGAGGCCGAAAGUUUGUGUGCAUUUAAAACUCUAAAAAAAUGCCGCCGGCAUUUACAUGGAAAUAAUAAGGAAAAGGAGAGAAGGAGUAAACAGAGAGAAUGCAAAUCGGCACUUUGCCAACAGAAACCAAAAGAGAAGAAAUUAUUACCAUCUUUUAAGAAAAAA
Long non-coding RNA from Drosophila mauritiana, 1075 nucleotides. RefSeq lists it as uncharacterized. The transcript has 2 exons. NCBI's taxonomy places the organism in Eukaryota, Metazoa, Arthropoda, Insecta, Diptera, Drosophilidae. The record is from RefSeq and is a predicted model, not a curated record.